Molecule: ribosomal RNA, 407 nt
Filed under: bacterium enrichment culture clone ALO1_GLFRUDD03HEUHB
Lineage: Bacteria
Description: bacterial SSU rRNA
Rfam family: Bacterial small subunit ribosomal RNA
Source: RNAcentral
GAGUUUGAUCCUGGCUCAGAUUGAACGCUGGCGGCAUGCCUUACACAUGCAAGUCGAACGGCAGCACGGGAGCUUGCUCCUGGUGGCGAGUGGCGAACGGGUGAGUAAUGCAUCGGAACGUAUCCUGGAGUGGGGGAUAACGUAGCGAAAGUUACGCUAAUACCGCAUAUUCUGUGAGCAGGAAAGCGGGGGACCUUCGGGCCUCGCACUCUUGGAGCGGCCGAUGUCGGAUUAGCUAGUUGGUGAGGUAAAGGCUCACCAAGGCGACGAUCCGUAGCAGGUCUGAGAGGAUGAUCUGCCACACUGGAACUGAGACACGGUCCAGACUCCUACGGGAGGCAGCAGUGGGAAUUUUGGACAAUGGGGGCAACCCUGAUCCAGCCAUGCCGCGUGAGUGAAGAAGGCCU